RNAcentral lists this ribosomal RNA (506 nucleotides) under uncultured bacterium. RNAcentral's name for it is "partial 16S ribosomal RNA". It matches the Rfam family "Bacterial small subunit ribosomal RNA", at positions 29 to 523 of the family's 1533-position model. The record is from RNAcentral.
AGUGAACGCUGGCGGUAGGCCUAACACAUGCAAGUCGAACGGCAGCACAGGAGAGCUUGCUCUCUGGGUGGCGAGUGGCGGACGGGUGAGGAAUACAUCGGAAUCUACUCUGUCGUGGGGGAUAACGUAGGGAAACUUACGCUAAUACCGCAUACGACCUACGGGUGAAAGCAGGGGAUCUUCGGAUCUUGCGCGAUUGAAUGAGCCGAUGUCGGAUUAGCUAGUUGGCGGGGUAAAGGCCCACCAAGGCGACGAUCCGUAGCUGGUCUGGGAGGAUGAUCAGCCACACUGGAACUGAGACACCGUCCAGACUCCUACGGGAGGCAGCAGUGGGGAAUAUUGGACAAUGGGCGCAAGCCUGAUCCAGCCAUACCGCGUGGGUGAAGAAGGCCUUCGGGUUGUAAAGCCCUUUUGUUGGGAAAGAAAUCCAUCUGGUUAAUACCCGGGUGGGAUGACGGUACCCAAAGAAUAAGCACCGGCUAACUUCGUGCCAGCCGCCGCCGUAA